CUCUUGCUUCACAUAAGAGGUCCAGCCUGCCCAGUGAAAUUUUAACGGCCGCGGUACCCUGACCGUGCGAAGGUAGCAUAAUCACUCGUUCUCUAAAUAGGGACUUGUAUCAAUGGCAUCACGAGGGUCAUACUGUCUCCUCUCUCCAAUCAGUGAACCUAAUCUCCCCGUGAAGAAGCGGGGUUGCACCCAUAAGACGAGAAGACCCCAUGGAGCUUUAAACCUUAAAGCAAUUUAAAUAAAAUAUUUCCACAUAUACUUUAGAUAUGCAUGAAGGUUUUGGGUUGGGGUGACCGCGGAGUAAAAACAAACCUCCACAACGAAAAGAACUAAAUCUUUAUCUAAGAACUACUAUUCUAAGAAUCAACACACUGACGAAUAUUGAUCCGAUAAUCGAUCAAUGAACCAAGUUACCCUGGGGAUAACAGCGCAAUCUACUUCGAGAGCUCAUAUCGACAAGUAGGCUUACGACCUCGAUGUUGGAUCAGGGUAUCCCAGUGGUGCAGCCGCUACUAAUGGUUCGUUUGUUCAACGAUUAAACCCC
This 544-nucleotide ribosomal RNA is filed under the name Chiromantis rufescens (African foam-nest treefrog). RNAcentral describes it as "partial large subunit ribosomal RNA". It matches the Rfam family "Bacterial large subunit ribosomal RNA", at positions 1820 to 2596 of the family's 2925-position model. Lineage: Eukaryota; Metazoa; Chordata; Amphibia; Anura; Rhacophoridae. The record is from RNAcentral.